This 4020-nucleotide long non-coding RNA is filed under the name Homo sapiens (human). Its description in RNAcentral is "HSALNT0299127". The record is from RNAcentral. Lineage: Eukaryota; Metazoa; Chordata; Mammalia; Primates; Hominidae.
GAGACUGCGCUGCUCCAGCCCGGGAAAAGUUCUAGAAUAGAGGCGCGGCGCAAGUCAGGGGGCCGCCUUGGAAACCGCAGCAAGGGCUCCUUGUGGGCUCCAGGCUGUUGGAGAGUGAGGGAGCCUCCUCCCCUUUCCUUCCCGUGGAGUAAACAGAGCUUGGCAGGGCUGGAGGCUUUCUUCCUUUUAAAAAGUGCCAUUCUGAACAACGAUACAAAGUGAAAAAAUAAAUUUUUUAAAAAAGAAAGGGAAAAACUACAAUUUGACCAUUCUGACCAGCCUCCUUGUUCCAACUGGCCUCUUGAUUUGUAUAAAGAUAAUGGGGUCCGGCGGCCCCCUUGAUGCAUGAAUUGCACGCUGGGCAUAAUGAACUUAUUGUGCGAAAGCACUUUGGACUUCGGACUGUGUUCCUAUGUCAGAAUUUUACUGUGGUUUGUAAGAUAAACUGGAAGGAAACAAACUCGUGGUUAACUCUUGUCAAUACGUGUCUUGAACCAAGCAAAGUGACAUUUCCUACCUGUGGCUUUGACUUUAAGCUGCACAAAAGGUAGGAGCUAGCCUCUCAGCUGUUCAAAGCCUAGAAUGAGAUGCCUGCUUAGUAGGUGUUAAAUUAUAACAGCAACAACCCAUAUGGUGCUUAUUAGGAGAAUAGUAUUCCAAAACUUCUCUAAUGACUGUGACCCUCCUGUGAAAUUCUGAUUUCAAUUGUAUAUGGGGUACAAUAAAUCUUUAUCUUUUAUCACCAGAAAAGCUAAUUGAACUGCUGUUUGCAGGCAGAAAUAACAAAAUGGGGGUAAUGGGCUCUUAGCCUGGGCUAAGACUCUCAACAGCUUUUUUCUGUUUUGCAGCUCACACAUACAGUCGGCUCAGGCAGACGGCCCAAGACAAGCCUGUGCCAAAGAAAUGCUGAUUUAGUCUGACCCAGACAAUCUCUACUCCCACAUGUCACUUCUCUGCAGAACUCUUACUAGUAUGGCAAAUACUUUAAAAAUCAUACAAUAAAAGAAGGCAAAACCUCAGUAAUUUGAGGUUCACUUUUAAUAAACUCUUUCCAUGCAUUAAAAUAAAUUGAGGCCCUGAGCUCUGGCGAAAUGUUUCCGGGUUUUUAAUUCCCACCGCCCCCCCACCCCGGAGGCAUAAAUAGCCACAUACGCAAUUCAAAGUACUCUAUUUGAACUAGUAUAGGAAAGAUGUUUUCUAUAGAUAUUGCAGAUAAAUUUGCAAUGACUUAAAUAUUUAUCUGCUAAAGUUGCUGAGUGCCUCCACAACAAAACCGAACUCAUUUUUUGUGCACGAUGGGCAUCUGAAUGCUACCUGAUGGUGAUGAUAUAGAAAUACUAAUUGCUAAGUAAAAGUGGUAAGUGAUGUGAUCUACAGAUUAUGUAAUGUAGUUCAUUUCCCCCAAAAUGUAAACUAUAUUUAGAAAUAUUCAAAUGUGACAUUAUUACCCUAUACAGGAUGUCUUAUCUCAGCAUCAAGGGCGUCUGUAGAGCUGCUGGAGGAGGCUCUUUAGAUUACGCAAUCUAACUUCUGACAGCCCAUUCAAAGGAUGAGAACCGGUGCCUUGAAGCUCUCAAUUUAAACUAGGAAUCCUGUAGUCUAGUCUCUAGACUUAUCUGACCUAGGCAGAAAUCAUCUCCUAGAGGCUUUUCAUGGCUGAUUUUGUGAUGUUUUACUUGCACUGAAGAUUUAUUAUUCCAUGUUUUGAGUUAGUGUUAUACAGUGCCAUUCUAUAUAUUUUCCAAAUAAAUGUUUGUCUUACAGAAGAAACUGUUUAUACCAUUCUAAUAGGGUUGUUUAAUAAGGAAAUUUUACUCAGUUGGGUUUUGGAUUAAAAAUAAAAGAACAGCUUUUAAGAUACAAUGUCUAAAUGAUUCUCAAUAAUGAUCUGUCUAUGGUAUAGUUACUUUUUGUCCUAAAAUACCUUUUCUGUGGGUUGUAUGGAUUGUUUUAUGUUGUGCCAGGCAGAUGUGCAUAAUUUUCUGAUUAAAACCAGUGCAAAUACAGACUUCAUAUUCUAUAAUCUUUUAAAGAGACAAGUUACACUUCAAAUCAAACAAUCAGAGAGCUGUUUCAAAUCAAGCAUUUUAAGUUAAGUUGUAUUGACAUGGGGAGGGAGCAGAUGACACACCUAAUGAGUUAAAACAAUGUUCACUGUUAAAUUAGGUAUAAAUUAAUGUAAUAACUAGGGGUAGUGUGGGUAUCCCUGACAAAUUAUGGAUUUAUCUGAGGAUUAAUGGAGGAAUCCACAGAUAAUCCAUAAAUCUACCCAUUUUCUAUCUUCUAACCGCUUAGCGAGUAAUUUAUAAAUUGUCUAUUUGUGUGCUUUUUAAGUUACAGUGAGGGGUUCAGACAUAUUAAGGAAAAUGCAGGCUGUCAAGAGAAACAGCAACAAGGGAUCUAUAGAGUUUGUAAUCUGGAAAGUCACACCCGUAAUUUUUAUUUGAUUGUAGUACCAUUGCUGUCAGAGGCCUAACCAGUGGCACUGAAGGAGUUAAAACAGUCCCCACCCCCACUCCCGAUUUCUAGAACCCCACGAUAAAUUGGGUAAAUAUGUAUUCCAUUCAUUGGUGCAUCUGACCUUGGUCUGUGACAGAGGAAAGGCGUGUCUUCUCAUACUGUUCCCUAUGAACAAAAGGCAAGCAAAUGAGGGUGACUCAGGACUUCUCAUGGCCUACACACAACUGAACAUUUUUCUGAAUGAUUCCACGUAUACACUUAGGAAUCAGGAAGAGAAACAUUUUACUCUUCACUAACCAAAUAAAACCAUCUAUAAAUCAUAUGCAAAACAACUUUUGAGUAAAGAGGGACUUAAAAGUCUAGGAAUUAAAAAAGGAUUUCCAUAGUUUCCUUUUAACUCUCCCCCAACUCCCCUUUGGGGAAUAAACAAAGACAUCUGCCACAUCAAGAGUCUGGUUUGUUUUCUUAACUGAAAACGAAAUGCAGUCAUUAAAGUAUAUCUUUGGGAAGAGGUUUUGAAAUGUUGAGAAUUACUUCUACAAGCUGCACUAUUUUCAAUUUCACUAAAAAUAAAAUUUAGCAUUUUUGUUACAAAAACAUAGUUCAUCCUAUUUCUUUUAACCUAGUUAUUACAUGAAAAAUUGUUUAUCAUCUGUAACUUGCUAAGAAUAUGGUUUCUUGAAAACCUUAAAUGGACUAAUAAUGAAAAACUAUUAAAAUAUAUAUAGUGAUGGGCCCCUCCUAGUUACCAGACCACCCUAGUGUAAAUAUAUUCAAGUACACAUUCACUGUUGCUGUUUAAUUUAAAACAUAUAGUAACUCUAUGUAUAUCCUAGCCUCCAACUCUUUAUGAGUUUCACAACUUCCUUUCAUAGAGAAGUCUGCCAAGCCAUUAAUCAAUAAAAAGAGUAAAAGCUGCAACAUCUAGGAAAUUUCUUAUUAUAUGAGAGUAGCCAGUAAAAUGUGUCUCAGUGCUUUCUACCUUUUAUCUCUAUUUAUAAAUUUAAGUUUCAGGAUAUCAAUAAAGCUCAUACAUGGCUUUGGCUUUUUUCAUUCCUAAGCUUUCCAAAGUAUAAGGCUUUUUUUUUUUUUAAAUCCCUUUUGUCUUUAGCGCAUUUCCUAUGGCCCAACGUAGCUGUUUUAUUCCAAAGCUUUUCAAAGAGCAGCUCCAGGUCUUGAGAGUCUUUCCAGUGUCGUCACUAUCUUCUCUUUCCAAUCUACCAUUGCAGAAUGGCUGGUUCUGCUGCUAGUUGAAAAAUAAACAAAUGCUUUCUAGCCGUACUUUGUUCAGCUCUUUUAUCUGUGUCCCCUAUCCAGUUGCCCUUUCCGCAGUCCCUGGCACUUCUAUUUUAUACCAUCAGUUGCCUUUUUGUUCCAUGUCUUUUAUCUCCUGAAGUUCAGGCAAACCCCAACCCCAAACCCACACAUCCUUUAGUCACAUUGCCAUUAGUGAUUAAAACAAUAGCCAUUCUAAGCUUGCUUUAGAAAAUUAAAAAAGGCCUCAGAAAAUGUUCAGUGCUCCCAAUUUUAUUUUUAUUUAAUGCUAAAAGUUAAAGAAAA